This 473-nucleotide ribosomal RNA is filed under the name uncultured marine eukaryote. RNAcentral's name for it is "SSU rRNA". It matches the Rfam family "Eukaryotic small subunit ribosomal RNA", at positions 613 to 1085 of the family's 1831-position model. The record is from RNAcentral.
UUGCGGUUAAAAAGCUCGUAGUUGGAUCUCGGCAGGCAGGGGGCGGUUCGCUAUUUAGCGCUACUGCCCCAUUUGCCUGUGUGAUUGGCGGAGGUUUCGGGGUGCUCUUUACUGAGUGUCCCGGGGCGCCGUCAGGUUUACUUUGAAAAAAUUAGAGUGCUCAAAGCAGGCUUUUCACGCUUGAAUAUUCGUGCAUGGAAUAAUGGAAUAGGAACUCGUUUCUAUUUUGUUGGUUUUCGGAAAUCGAGUUAAUGAUUAAUAGGGACAAUUGGGGGCAUUAGUAUUCAGACGACAGAGGUGAAGUUCUUGGACCGUCUGAAGACUAACUACUGCGAAAGCAUUUGCCAAGAGUGUUUUCAUUAAUCAAGAACGAAAGUUAGAGGUUCGAAGGCGAUCAGAUACCGCCCUAGUUCUAACCAUAAACGAUGCCCAGCUAGCGAUCCGCUGAGUUUUCUUUGUAGGCUCUGCGGGAA